This is a long non-coding RNA of Mus spicilegus (steppe mouse), 2159 nucleotides long. NCBI's taxonomy places the organism in Eukaryota, Metazoa, Chordata, Mammalia, Rodentia, Muridae. The record is from Ensembl.
CAUGGUUGGAACCCAUCUUAGACUAUGAGCCAGAUGUGUGUUUGUGUGUGUGUGGCUUCUAUCCCCCUUUAAAUAAAAAUGUUGGGGCUGGUGAGAUGGCUCACCAGUUAAGAGCACUGGUUGCUUUUCCUUAAGUCCUGAGUUCAAUUCCCAGCAACCAAAUGCUCGUGACCAUGUAUAAGGGAAUCUGAUGCCCUCUUCUGGCACGCAGGUGUACAUGCAGCAGAGCACUCAGUAAUCUUUUUUUUUUUUUUAAACGGAGAGCAGAAGCUGAGGUGCAAAUUCAGAUUUUUCUGCUAGGUGUAGGCAAUAUGAGUCCUCCUGAGUAGACUGGAUCCAAUCAUGAGUACAGAAUCCGCAAAGCCAUAAGCCUAAAGGAGACCAAAGACCUGACCUACCCUGUAGGAGCUCCAGGGUCUUUACCCAACCUUGGCCGACUAGGCUGCCUGUUUCUUUCUUUCUUCUUUUUUUUUUCUUUCCUUUGGAUUGGUAAUUUAUCAAAUUUUCGUCAUAUACAUGAUCCUCUACUUAGGACAGUAAGAAACAUGAUUCCUCUUUGUUCCCUUCGCAUUUGUCAGCGCGAUCAAGUCAGGCAUAUGAGAAGACGACUAUGUCCGUCAGGACCCCCGGGCCCGGCGUGGGUAUAAAUGGCCGAGGCGGGCGGCACACGGGUCUCUUUGUGCACCCGCCCACACGGUUUGCGGUCUUUUUACCCUUCGUUGCUCUCCACCGGUCUGGGCAGGGUCUGAGGACUCCGGAGAGCAAGGCAUGGUUCCGCCUCGUGCCGCUGGUUCCUGGCCCACGCCAGCCGUACCCAGUAGCACAAUGGGAUUUGAGGACACACGCCAGCUGCCUACACCUGAAGAAAGGUUAGUAUUAGGAUCCAAACGCCUUACUUAAGUUCCUUUAAGGUGGUUUUCUUAGGUUUCAUUGGUCUGGCAUGCUUGUCUCUUGGCUUGACUUUUUGGAAGGGGUGGAUUCGAGACAGGGUUUCUCCAUGUAGCCCUGAUCUCAGAUCCGCCUGCCUCUACUCUGGAAUUAAAUGCAUGCAGCACCACCGACUGGCCCUUGUUUUGUUCUUAAUAUCCUGCCUGCAUUAGCCAGUCUCCAAGCAAGCCACCACCCAGCUAUCUUUUUGUUUUUAGAUCUUAACUAAUCUCCCUAACUCUAAAUCUAUGGUGGGUCCAGGAGCUGCCUUGAUUAUUUCUUGUGCCUUUAAGUUCUGUAUGCUAGUUCACGCCAGUGGGUCUCAGCCUUCCUGAGGGCCUUUAAUGCAGUUCCUUGGGCUGUGAUGUUCCUAACCAUCGAUUUUAUUUUCCUUGCAUCUUCAUAACUAAAGUUUGCUAUUGUGAUAACACAGGCUGUCCUGUCUGGGACCCCUAUGUAAGGGUUCCUUGGUGACACAGGUUGAGAGCCACUGUUUUAGACUAUGCUUUUGGGUAUUUAGACGGGCUCUCAAUUCAGGAUGGCCUUAGUCCUGGCUCCAACCACUUUUUUUUUUUAAGAUUUAAAUGUUUGUGAGUAUACUAUUGCUGUCUUCAGACACACCAGAAGAGGGCGUCAGAUCCCAUUAAACAUGGUUAUGAGCCAUCUCUCCAGCCCAUGCCACCUUUUUUUGUUAAAGGUUUUAGCAGUUAAAUUUCAGUCCCCAGGAGUUUUGGCUUUAUAUAGCUCUGCAACAGUCCAAAGCCUAACUACACACACUGGCUACCGCAUCCUGUGUCUAUCAGAUUGACAUUCCCUGGGUGGUACCCUAGGUUCUGGUCUCCCUCAAUUGAGAGUGAUGAUUUCACAGACUAGAGUCUCUGACGCUGUCCUUGAUGUCAGCUAUAAAUCUGACUCAUUUGGGGAACCUCUUGAGAUUGAGCCCUGUGUGCCAACACUGGCUCUGGUGGGGAACAUACCCUGCUCUCCUGUUUCUCAUUGUGCCCAUCUUAACUCUCCAGGGUGAGCUCUGAGGACUUCACAGGGGCCCCAUCCCCUCACCUAGAUGAGGGCUAACCUUGGAAUCCAGACAAAGGUGGAAGUGACCUAGAUGUGACCUGAAUGAGCUAAUCAUCUAAUGAGAGCCAUCCCUUUGUCCUGCCCGCAUGAAGGUGGGUGGUUAGCUCACUUUUCAGGGUAAUAAAGCAGUAAAGGCGGGGUGGGGGGGUUGUUGA